GCCAUUGAUCGAGAGAUCGAAACCGCCUAUAUUCCUCCUCGCCGGCUUCGGCCGGCUAUGGCGAUAAACGGGCAGCGUAAUAAACCUAUCGGACCCGGGGGCAGUACCCGGCGCCUCCACCACCAACGGUGCUCGGUCCCGAGCUUGACGACGGAUCGAAGCGCCGCUGAUGAUGGGGGCGAAACAGGAUCGACGAGGGCGUAAAGGUUGUGCUUUUGCUCGGCAUUGUACCACCGUUAUCGGGCUAUCCAAAUAGUUGCCAACGACAACUAUGCUGAGGUUCGUCUCGCUGCGUAAUGCAGCCUGAUGGCUUCGAAUCAAGUCCUGGCCGUUAGCGCGGUUUAGGCGGGGCCCGGAGGCGCCUGGCAACAGAAGCCUCCACU
This 383-nucleotide transfer-messenger RNA is filed under the name Hyphomicrobiales bacterium. RNAcentral's name for it is "Rhizobiales bacterium (soil metagenome) transfer-messenger RNA". It matches the Rfam family "Alphaproteobacteria transfer-messenger RNA". From Rfam's summary of the family: Bacterial tmRNA, also known as 10Sa RNA or SsrA, is named for its dual tRNA and mRNA-like properties. Its role is to liberate the mRNA from a stalled ribosome. To accomplish this part of the tmRNA is used as a reading frame that ends in a translation stop signal. The record is from RNAcentral. Lineage: Bacteria; Pseudomonadati; Pseudomonadota; Alphaproteobacteria; Hyphomicrobiales.